RNAcentral lists this ribosomal RNA (601 nucleotides) under Halopseudomonas pachastrellae. Its description in RNAcentral is "bacterial SSU rRNA". It matches the Rfam family "Bacterial small subunit ribosomal RNA", at positions 84 to 681 of the family's 1533-position model. Lineage: Bacteria; Pseudomonadati; Pseudomonadota; Gammaproteobacteria; Pseudomonadales; Pseudomonadaceae. The record is from RNAcentral.
UCUUCUUGAGAGCGGCGGACGGGUGAGUAAUGCCUAGGAAUCUGCCUGGUAGUGGGGGACAACGUUUCGAAAGGAACGCUAAUACCGCAUACGUCCUACGGGAGAAAGUGGGGGAUCUUCGGACCUCACGCUAUCAGAUGAGCCUAGGUCGGAUUAGCUUGUAGGUGAGGUAAUGGCUCACCUAGGCAACGAUCCGUAACUGGUCUGAGAGGAUGAUCAGUCACACUGGAACUGAGACACGGUCCAGACUCCUACGGGAGGCAGCAGUGGGGAAUAUUGGACAAUGGGCGAAAGCCUGAUCCAGCCAUGCCGCGUGUGUGAAGAAGGUCUUCGGAUUGUAAAGCACUUUAAGUUGGGAGGAAGGGUUGUAGCUUAAUACGCUGCAACUUUGACGUUACCAACAGAAUAAGCACCGGCUAACUCUGUGCCAGCAGCCGCGGUAAUACAGAGGGUGCAAGCGUUAAUCGGAAUUACUGGGCGUAAAGCGCGCGUAGGCGGCUUGAUAAGAUGGGUGUGAAAUCCCCGGGCUUAACCUGGGAACUGCAUCCAUAACUGUCUGGCUAGAGUGCAGUAGAGGGUGGUGGAAUUUCCUGUGUAGCGG